AGAGUUUGAUUCUGGCUCAGAACGAACGCUGGCGGCAGGCUUAACACAUGCAAGUCGAACGAUGUAGCAAUACAUAGUGGCGCACGGGUGAGUAACGCGUGGGAACGUGCCUUUUAGUUCGGGAUAACCACUGGAAACGGUGGCUAAUACCGAAUACGCCCUUCGGGGGAAAGAUUUAUCGCUAAAAGAUCGGCCCGCGUGAGAUUAGGUAGUUGGUGGGGUAAUGGCCUACCAAGCCUACGAUCUCUAGCUGGUCUGAGAGGAUGAUCAGCCACACUGGAACUGAGACACGGUCCAGACUCCUACGGGAGGCAGCAGUGGGGAAUAUUGGACAAUGGGCGAAAGCCUGAUCCAGCCAUGCCGCGUGAACGAUGAAGGCCUUAGGGUUGUAAAGUUCUUUUGUCAGGGAAGAUAAUGACGGUACCUGAAGAAUAAGCACCGGCUAACUUCGUGCCAGCAGCCGCGGUAAUACGAAGGGUGCUAGCGUUGUUCGGAAUCACUGGGCGUAAAGCGCGCGUAGGCGGCGAUCCAAGUCAGGGGUGAAAGCCUGGAGCUCAACUCCAGAACUGCCUUUGAAACUGGAUUGCUAGAGUGUCGGAGGGGAUGGCGGAAUUGCUAAUGUAGAGGUGAAAUUCGUAGAUAUUAGCAGGAACACCGGUGGCGAAGGCGGCUAUCUGGACGACAACUGACGCUGAGGCGCGAAAGCGUGGGGAUCAAACAGGAUUAGAUACCCUGGUAGUCCACGCUGUAAACGAUGGGUGCUAGCCGUUGGGGGGAUACCUCUCAGUGGCGCAGCUAACGCGUUAAGCACCCCGCCUGGGGAGUACGGUCGCAAGAUUAAAACUCAAAUGAAUGACGG
Molecule: ribosomal RNA, 859 nt
Filed under: uncultured bacterium
Lineage: Bacteria
Description: bacterial SSU rRNA
Rfam family: Bacterial small subunit ribosomal RNA
Source: RNAcentral